Molecule: transfer RNA, 87 nt
Filed under: Treponema sp.
Lineage: Bacteria; Pseudomonadati; Spirochaetota; Spirochaetia; Treponematales; Treponemataceae
Also listed under: 2 other names
Description: tRNA-Ser
Rfam family: tRNA
About the family: Transfer RNA (tRNA) molecules are approximately 80 nucleotides in length.
Source: RNAcentral
GGAAGUUUAGCCUAAUUGGUAAGGCACCAGUCCUGAAAACUGGCGGUAGAUUGUAUCUCCAUGCAGGUUCGAGUCCUGUAGCUUCCG